This 312-nucleotide ribosomal RNA is filed under the name Triticum aestivum (bread wheat). Its description in RNAcentral is "partial small subunit ribosomal RNA". The record is from RNAcentral. Lineage: Eukaryota; Viridiplantae; Streptophyta; Magnoliopsida; Poales; Poaceae.
AUGGUGGCGCCGGCGCGGGGGCGGUUCGUGGUGCCGGAGCACAUCCGGGGCCACCACGACGCCGCCAUCGGCAACUUCGGGGUGCCCGACUACGGCGGCACGCUCACGGGCGUCGUGCUCUACCCGGACAAGAAGGCCACCGGAUGCACCGAGUUCCCGGCCAGGUUCAAGUCCACGUCCGGCCGCCCCGUCGUCCUCCUGCUCGAGAUUGAUCGAUUCCUGGCUUCGGCUAAUUCUCGCGGGGAAGACAUUGCUGAUGCGCGACUGUGCGAGCCUGAAUUGUCCGACGAUUUACGGUGCCACCGAAUUUAG